AUUGAACGCUGGCGGCAGGCCUAAUACAUGCAAGUCGAACGGUAACAUAAAAGAAGCUUGCUUCUUUUGAUGACGAGUGGCGGACGGGUGAGUAAUAUUUGGGAAACUACCUGAUAGAGGGGGACAACAGUUGGAAACGACUGCUAAUACCGCAUAUAGCCUAAGGGUGAAAGCAGCAAUGCGCUAUCAGAUGUGCCCAAACGGGAUUAGCUAGUAGGUGAGGUAAAGGCUCACCUAGGCGACGAUCUCUAGCUGGUCUGAGAGGAUGAUCAGCCACAUUGGGACUGAGACACGGCCCAGACUCCUACGGGAGGCAGCAGUAGGGAAUAUUGCACAAUGGAGGAAACUCUGAUGCAGCCAUGCCGCGUGUGUGAAGAAGGCCUCCGGGUUGUAAAGCACUUUCGGAGGGGAGGAAAAGAUGACGUUACCCUCAGAAGAAGCACCGGCUAACUCCGUG
RNAcentral lists this ribosomal RNA (457 nucleotides) under uncultured bacterium. RNAcentral describes it as "bacterial SSU rRNA". It matches the Rfam family "Bacterial small subunit ribosomal RNA", at positions 30 to 507 of the family's 1533-position model. The record is from RNAcentral.